Molecule: ribosomal RNA, 200 nt
Filed under: uncultured bacterium
Lineage: Bacteria
Description: partial 16S ribosomal RNA
Rfam family: Bacterial small subunit ribosomal RNA
Source: RNAcentral
GACGAACGCUGGCGGCGUGCUUAACACGUGUAAGUCGAACGGAAAGGCCCCUUCGGGGGUACUCGAGUGGCGAACGGGUGAGUAACACGUGGGCAAUCUGCCCUGCACUUCGGGAUAAGCCUGGGAAACUGGGUCUAAUACCGAAUAGGACCCCGAGGCGCAUGCCUUGGGGUGGAAAGCUUUUGCGGUGUGGGAUGGGC